This is a non-coding RNA of Pelobates cultripes (western spadefoot toad), 334 nucleotides long. Lineage: Eukaryota; Metazoa; Chordata; Amphibia; Anura; Pelobatidae. The record is from the annotation of a GenBank genome assembly.
GUAAAGGUCUGAUUAAACCAAACAUGGAACCAGUCACAUGAGAAGAGUAUCCAGUACCUGCUGAAUUUCCCAUAAAAACGCGUCUGGUUACACCGGUGGCCAAGAGCCAGUGCCGUAGCUCGCCAACUUGGCAGAAACACGAGUCCUCAGCAAAAGUUUUAACGGUCAUCGGGACGAGGAUGCUAAGCUUCCUGGCAGCAUCUAGAGUUUACUUUACAAUCCAAGUCUGUCGAGAGACGUUAAGCAGGUUGUGGAAAGGGCUCGUCAGACAAUAUGGAGUCAAUCCACCGACAAUUCUACAAAGAGAAUGAGAAAUAAUGGUUGAUUACCUUCA